RNAcentral lists this microRNA (23 nucleotides) under Caenorhabditis briggsae. Its description in RNAcentral is "Cbr-Mir-789_3p* (star (passenger))". The record is from RNAcentral. Lineage: Eukaryota; Metazoa; Nematoda; Chromadorea; Rhabditida; Rhabditidae.
CCCUGCCUGGGUCACCAUGUGAA